This 657-nucleotide ribosomal RNA is filed under the name Triticum aestivum (bread wheat). RNAcentral describes it as "partial small subunit ribosomal RNA". Lineage: Eukaryota; Viridiplantae; Streptophyta; Magnoliopsida; Poales; Poaceae. The record is from RNAcentral.
AUGGCCCGGAAGCAGCGACUCAAGGCCACGACGGCAGCUCAAGGCAUUGCCGUGGUAGUAGAGAGUCAACAACAAACCGAUGGGUGGAGAGCCGUGAACCGGCGAUGCCGGAGGUGCCUCGAUACAGCAGCGGUGGGUCAACCAAACUUGACGCGUGUCCGCAAUGGCAGGGCCGUAGAUGGUGACCCGGUGAAGCAAUGUUGGUCUGCGGCGGCGACUCAUGGAGGUAGAAACAGCCGGCGCGGCUGGCAACUUGCGAGGCGACGUUUUGUUUUGGACGCAAUCGGCGACGACGGCUUGAUGUCAUACCCGCGGAGCGCGCCGGCAAGGGCAACUCAGGCUUGGCCGGUUCGUCGAGGCCGUGGUGGUGCAGGCGCUCAGAAGCGGAAUAGGCAAAGGGUGCAAGGCCAGACUCGGCCAAGUGCAGCGGCAAGGUUGAGCACCCGGUCCGGCAUCUUAGAGAGCAGGCGGCGGCUCAUGGUAGCGGCAGUCCACGGCAGAGGUGACUCGACGGCGGAAAGGCCAAAACGGAAGUUUAGGCACACCGGCGAGGACGACCAAGAUGGGGCGCCGGAGCGAGGCGCCGAGAGCCGGCGGGGGUUCGGAGUCGGUGUAGGCCGCGGCGGUAGGGGCAAUAGAGGCGCAGAGGCGGCUUAG